UACGUAGGGUGCGAGCGUUGUCCGGAAUUACUGGGCGUAAAGAGCUCGUAGGUGGUUUGUCGCGUUGUUCGUGAAAACUCACAGCUUAACUGUGGGCGUGCGGGCGAUACGGGCAGACUGGAGUACUGCAGGGGAGACUGGAAUUCCUGGUGUAGCGGUGGAAUGCGCAGAUAUCAGGAGGAACACCGGUGGCGAAGGCGGGUCUGCUGGGCCGUUGCUGACGCUGAGACACGAAAGCGUGGGGAGCAAACAGG
This 254-nucleotide ribosomal RNA is filed under the name uncultured bacterium. RNAcentral's name for it is "partial 16S ribosomal RNA". It matches the Rfam family "Bacterial small subunit ribosomal RNA", at positions 524 to 776 of the family's 1533-position model. The record is from RNAcentral.